CCGAAAGUUUGCGAUGUUUUGCAUAUAAUCGAGAAGAUUGCCACUGUUCAGUAGAUCCUCUCAAGCGAUACGUUAAGCCGUCGUGUAAAGAACAUGUAAGCCUCAGGAUGAAACAGCGUAGAAAGACAUCAAAGAGGCUGCAUUAGGAUUAGUACGGGGAACUAUUUUAACUUCAAGAAGAUUAGUGGUUAUAAAUUACAUUGGAGUGAACGAAAGGUUCCAGUGACGUUAGAG
Long non-coding RNA from Dendronephthya gigantea, 234 nucleotides. RefSeq lists it as uncharacterized. NCBI's taxonomy places the organism in Eukaryota, Metazoa, Cnidaria, Anthozoa, Malacalcyonacea, Nephtheidae. The record is from RefSeq and is a predicted model, not a curated record. The transcript is spliced from 4 exons.